GAUGAACGCUAGCGGGAGGCCUAACACAUGCAAGCCGAGCGGUAUUUGUCCUUCGGGACAGAGAGAGCGGCGUACGGGUGCGGAACACGUGUGCAACCUGCCUUUAUCUGGGGGAUAGCCUUUCGAAAGGAAGAUUAAUACCCCAUAAUAUAUCGAAUGGCAUCAUUCGAUAUUGAAAACUCCGGUGGAUAGAGAUGGGCACGCGCAAGAUUAGAUAGUUGGUGAGGUAACGGCUCACCAAGUCAGUGAUCUUUAGGGGGCCUGAGAGGGUGAUCCCCCACACUGGUACUGAGACACGGACCAGACUCCUACGGGAGGCAGCAGUGAGGAAUAUUGGACAAUGGGUGAGAGCCUGAUCCAGCCAUCCCGCGUGAAGGACUAAGGUCCUAUGGGUUGUAAACUUCUUUUAUACUGGGAUAAACCUACUUACGUGUAAGUAGCUGAAGGUACAGUAUGAAUAAGCACCGGCUAACUCCGUG
RNAcentral lists this ribosomal RNA (479 nucleotides) under uncultured bacterium. RNAcentral describes it as "partial 16S ribosomal RNA". It matches the Rfam family "Bacterial small subunit ribosomal RNA", at positions 28 to 507 of the family's 1533-position model. The record is from RNAcentral.